This 694-nucleotide ribosomal RNA is filed under the name Escherichia coli. Its description in RNAcentral is "bacterial SSU rRNA". It matches the Rfam family "Bacterial small subunit ribosomal RNA", at positions 93 to 783 of the family's 1533-position model. The record is from RNAcentral. Lineage: Bacteria; Pseudomonadati; Pseudomonadota; Gammaproteobacteria; Enterobacterales; Enterobacteriaceae.
GAGUGGCGGACGGGUGAGUAAUGUCUGGGAAACUGCCUGAUGGAGGGGGAUAACUACUGGAAACGGUAGCUAAUACCGCAUAACGUCGCAAGACCAAAGAGGGGGACCUUCGGGCCUCUUGCCAUCGGAUGUGCCCAGAUGGGAUUAGCUAGUAGGUGGGGUAACGGCUCACCUAGGCGACGAUCCCUAGCUGGUCUGAGAGGAUGACCAGCCACACUGGAACUGAGACACGGUCCAGACUCCUACGGGAGGCAGCAGUGGGGAAUAUUGCACAAUGGGCGCAAGCCUGAUGCAGCCAUGCCGCGUGUAUGAAGAAGGCCUUCGGGUUGUAAAGUACUUUCAGCGGGGAGGAAGGGAGUAAAGUUAAUACCUUUGCUCAUUGACGUUACCCGCAGAAGAAGCACCGGCUAACUCCGUGCCAGCAGCCGCGGUAAUACGGAGGGUGCAAGCGUUAAUCGGAAUUACUGGGCGUAAAGCGCACGCAGGCGGUUUGUUAAGUCAGAUGUGAAAUCCCCGGGCUCAACCUGGGAACUGCAUCUGAUACUGGCAAGCUUGAGUCUCGUAGAGGGGGGUAGAAUUCCAGGUGUAGCGGUGAAAUGCGUAGAGAUCUGGAGGAAUACCGGUGGCGAAAGCGGCCCCCUGGACGAAGACGGACGCUUAGGUGCGAAAGCGUGGGGAGCAAACAGGAUUAGAU